Molecule: ribosomal RNA, 696 nt
Filed under: uncultured bacterium
Lineage: Bacteria
Description: bacterial SSU rRNA
Rfam family: Bacterial small subunit ribosomal RNA
Source: RNAcentral
AACGCUAGCUACAGGCUUAACACAUGCAAGUCGAGGGGAAACGAUAUUGGAAGCUUGCUUCCGAUAGGCGUCGACCGGCGCACGGGUGAGUAACGCGUAUCCAACCUGCCCACCACUUGGGGAUAACCUUGCGAAAGUAAGACUAAUACCCAAUGAUAUCUCUAGAAGACAUCUGAAAGAGAUUAAAGAUUUAUCGGUGAUGGAUGGGGAUGCGUCUGAUUAGCUUGUUGGCGGGGUAACGGCCCACCAAGGCGACGAUCAGUAGGGGUUCUGAGAGGAAGGUCCCCCACAUUGGAACUGAGACACGGUCCAAACUCCUACGGGAGGCAGCAGUGAGGAAUAUUGGUCAAUGGACGUAAGUCUGAACCAGCCAAGUAGCGUGCAGGAUGACGGCCCUAUGGGUUGUAAACUGCUUUUAUAAGGGAAUAAAGUUAGUCUCGUGAGACUUUUUGCAUGUACCUUAUGAAUAAGGACCGGCUAAUUCCGUGCCAGCGGCCGCGGUAAUACGGAAGGUCCGGGCGUUAUCCGGAUUUAUUGGGUUUAAAGGGAGCGUAGGCCGGAGAUUAAGCGUGUUGUGAAAUGUAGACGCUCAACGUCUGCACUGCAGCGCGAACUGGUUUCCUUGAGUACGCACAAAGUGGGCGGAAUUCGUGGUGUAGCGGUGAAAUGCUUAGAUAUCACGAAGAACUCCGAUUG